CUACGGAGGGUGCAAGCGUUGUUCGGAAUUACUGGGCGUAAAGCGCGCGUAGGUGGUCUGUUAUGUCAGAUGUGAAAGUCCACGGCUCAACCGUGGAAGUGCAUUUGAAACUGGCAGACUUGAGUACUGGAGGGGGUAGUGGAAUUCCCGGUGUAGAGGUGAAAUUCGUAGAUAUCGGGAGGAAUACCGGUGGCGAAGGCGACUACCUGGCCAGAUACUGACACUGAGGUGCGAAAGCGUGGGGAGCGAACAGGAUUAGAUACCCCAGUAGUCC
This 274-nucleotide ribosomal RNA is filed under the name uncultured bacterium. RNAcentral describes it as "partial 16S ribosomal RNA". It matches the Rfam family "Bacterial small subunit ribosomal RNA", at positions 523 to 796 of the family's 1533-position model. The record is from RNAcentral.